AUGUCUGUAGCUCAAUGGUUAGAGCUGCCUGAAGUUGUUAAGGCUCAGGGUUCAAACCCCACACUGACAUG
This is a non-coding RNA of Merluccius polli (Benguela hake), 71 nucleotides long. The record is from the annotation of a GenBank genome assembly. NCBI's taxonomy places the organism in Eukaryota, Metazoa, Chordata, Actinopteri, Gadiformes, Merlucciidae.